UGAGGAUGGGGUGAUGCCCAACUUUUUGUGCCUGGAGUGGAUACCAGGACACUGCAGCCAAGGGCUAGGGGAGGACAGGAAGAGUUCAGCCUGUCCCAGACCUCACAGGAGCUCUGCAAAUUUCUGACCCUCUCUGGCAAAAUGCCCCAGGUAUAACCCUUAAUAACUUAAAGGUAUAUAAGAAAGGGAGCUGGUUUUCUUUUCCAUUUUCUUGCAGCUUGUUUGGGGAUUUUUAAAGGAAGGACAAGGCAUAUACCUAAAGGGGAAAGAAUGUCACAGCAUCAUUAUUUUAUUCCCACACCCCAACCACUUCAGAAGAGGUCAAGGGGAAAUUAGCACUGAACAAACUGCACAGGAUGAAUGGUUAAAGAUGACUUUCCAGUGAUGAAAAAAACCAACAGUGUCACCCUGGGCUCAGGUUUGUCCCCACAGAUGCUGUGUGCAGGUCUCUGGUGUGGACAAACUGGAGGGUGAGCUGCACCCCCAUCCUGAUGAGGAGCAGGAAAGAGCCAAGGCCUUUCCUGCUCCUCACCCACCCCACCAGCAAGAGGCUCCCAAGGAGCUGGGGGGGGGGCACAGCCAGGACAGCUGCCCCAGGGACAUCCCAUAAUAUGGCACCAGCUCAGCAUGGAAACCUGGGCAGGAGGAGGAAGGGGGGACGUUUGCAGUGAUGGUGUUUGCCUUCCCCAGUCACUGUCACAGGUGAUGGAGCCCUGCUGUGCUGGGCAUGGCUGAGCCCCUGCCUGCCAUGGGGAGUGGGCAAUGAGUCCCUUGGUUUGCCUCACCUGUUAAACUGCCUUUAUCCCAACCCAGGAGUUUUCUCACUUUUACCCUUUCAGUUCUCUUCCCCAUCGUGGGGGGAGUGAGCAAAUGGCUGUGUGGGGCUGAGCUGCCAGCUGGGGUUGCACCACCACAGCUGCUUCCAUGUUUUCCUGCCUGCUGUCCACCCAGAAAGAUCACAAUGUACAUUCACAUUAGCCAUAUGAUUUCUACUUACACAUUAACUAAUGGCUAUGAAUUUGUCUAUUACCAAAGAUGCCUGCUCUCAACCAAACAACAAAUUGUGGCAUGAAAGCAUUUUGCUCAUAACUCAGUGCAGGAACAACUGAUGACAAAGUCAGUGAUGCAGGAGCCCAAAGAAACUGAAGCAGGAGAUGAAAUGCUUAUCGCCUGAUUCCCGGUGGAAAAAGAUUGCUCUCAUCAGAUAAAGAUCAAGAGGAGGUGCUGUAGUUAAAAGUAGGUAAAUAGGGAAUUACACAGUAAAAAUGCUGGUUCAUCACCUGGGGUGUGAUGCUCCUGUCAUACUGUGCUAUUUAAAAUCAGCAGAGCAGCAGUGGGAGGAAGACUCGGGUAAUGCUGACAGAUGGAGCAGGGCUCUGGGAGAGCACGGGGGGCUCCUGUGGCUCCUGUGGCUGAGAGCAUCUGUCUGCGGUGUCACCGCAGGGCUCCCGCCUGGUCACCGCUGUCCCCGCCUCCCCACAGCCCCUCCCGUGCAAACGGGAAUGUUCGGGUCGGGUGGGAGGGCUGAGAGCCCAGCCCGUGCUGCUGCCGCCUGCACCCUCCUGGCCCACCCACACCCGCCGGGCUCCGGGAGCAUCCCUGGGCCGGGUGGGGCUGCCAUGGAAGGAACAGCACGGACAGACAGCAGGGCGGGGCUGCACCCUCCAAGGAGGAAGCACGAACAGAGACCUGCAGGAGAUCAUUCUGAGCAGCUGGUGCAGGAGCUGGCGGUGGUUUUUAACCGCCCAGCGGCAGCUGUGAGACCACCCCCCCUCCUGGCUCACCCACAGCGAGGGAAGCUGUGCCACAGCCCCAGCCUUUCCCAACAGCUUCUCUUCAAUAAGGUUCUGUAGUGGAAACUCAGCAAAGCUCCAAGAGGAAGGCUGUGUUCCAGAUGGCAGGAGGGGACCUGGGGAGGUUUUUACUCUAAAUGAGUCUGCAUUAGCCUGGCAUUAUUUUCACUCAGAUUUUACUGUCUGCAAAGAUGACCCAAGUCCUGCAGUGGCAGGAACACCUGAUUGGAGGUGUCUGGUCACCACAGAGAUGUCCCACCAAGCUGCUCAAGCUCAGCCCACAGCAAGUUCAUACAGAGAUCAGGCAUUCCCCAAGCUCCUACCCCUACAAGAACACUUUUGCCUGCAGACAAAGCUUUAGGGACACAGACUAAUGUGCUGCUCAAAAUCUCAUCAGCUAUCUAACAUCUGUUCUGCAGCACAAGCACCUCUUUUGCCAUCCACAGCUGGGGCUGGAAACCUCUUCUGCUUGUUCAGCUUUUGCCUUCUACUCUCCCAGAGCCAGGGCUACAGUUACCCCUGAACACCCAACCUGCAGCAUGAUCUUCUGAAGCAGGAUUUCAGUAAGAUUAUUCCAACUUUGGCAAGUUCUUUUCACUCAGAUUUCUCUGUGCAUAGGCAAAAAGAGCAUUUCAAAGGGCAAGCAAAAUUCUGUGCAGCUCUCUUUCCCCAGCACCUUGUUUGCUGGAGACAAUCCUGUACCAGCCUGCAGAGCCUUGCAACAGCAGAAUGCUGCUGUUCUCAGUGUCCCUCCUCCCUGUCUGAGCCACCAGCUCCAAAAUCUUGCAAUGCCUCUGGUUUCACUUGCUUUGGUUUUUCACACAUGUAUGUGGUGAUUGCACCAGACCCUACAGCAACCUGGCCAUCUCCUUCCCUGGAGAUGCUGCUCAUGUGCCUGGGAAACAGAGCUCACACUCAGCAUCAGCUUUCUGCCUGUGGCCCCAGCUCUCCUCCCACAAUAAGUUUCUGGUUUUCCUAGACAAGACUGAAAAGCAAAGGAAAAGGAUUUUGGAGUGACUGCAAGGCAGUUUCAUAAAUAUGUAUUAGCAUUAACUUCACCCCAUCACAGCAGCAGGCUGAGCUCUCAGAAGAUCAAACCCAAAGCUGACCCUGAGCAGCUCCACUGAAGCCCCUGUGACUGCAAGGCAGCACUCACCUCUCUGUGCCAUGGCUUGUAUCAGGACUCUGCUUCCUUCUCAAAAACAUUGUUCCCACAGCAGUCACGUUCCUGUGCUCACAUCCUAAAUCACAGCUAGUGAUUCCAGCAUCUGGAUCCCUAACUUUGAAGUUUCCCUUUCAAAGUCCUUUCAUGUUCUACAUUUUGAUGUGCCACGUUCAUCUUCUCCUGCUUUCCUCUAUCUGAGCACUUCCCCUGAUUGUGAAUUGUAUCAACCAGCUUACAAAGGAAUUAUUGCAAAGCUUUUCUCCUUGCCAUCAGUGUUAUGUAGUUUAUUAAGCAUAUGUUUUGUUACUAGAGUGGCUUCAGAAGCAAUGUCUAAUAAAACCCCAGUUUUUCCUUUAGUUAAUUGUAAAGUUAAUGCCUUAAACCUCCAGGAGAUAUUCCUCCAAGAAGAAAACAAAUUUGGGUUUAAACCGAGUAGUUUUAAAGGUUUAUUCUAGUCAGCUCAGGAGAUCAAUAGACACUUCUGUUUUAUGUGCUUUAAGGGCUGAAACACUUGCAACAGAUGUAAGAAAAAAAUCACAUUUUUGUAGAGGGGGAAAAAAACCCUCAAGAGUUAAACAGCAAUUUCCAAGCGUGUUUAUCACUAGGCUGGUAGAAGAAAAAAAACUAAAUACAAGUAGAACCAUGGAAAUUAAUUAUUUCCACAGUUAUGUACAUAAAUAUCUGAGCAUGGCACAUUUAAUUAAUGCAUAUGUGUUCAAAGAUGAGAGAUAAUUUGUAAGAAAACCAAUUUGGCUUCUCCUCCUUUGUCAUACACACUGAAGACAGUAUCUAAGUAAAAAUUAUUCUUUAAAUGUAUUACUUUGACUUGCCACUGAUACCUGGUAAUUAUAACUUUAAUAACACAAUAAUGUAUUAUAAGAAAGAUUUUUAGGAGCUUUAUACAAUGCUGCUAUCUCCUUUAGUUUCUACAACAAUGCCAAACCCAGCUUUUCUGUUGUACUCCAAAUAAUUCCUCCUUGCAUCCCUUCUGGAACAUCCAUGGUGAGUGAUCCUAGCAAGUGGUGGGGCACAGAGACACGGGGUCACCUGGCACUGGCAGCCCUGUUCUGCCAGCUGCAUCCACAGCUGCCCAGUGCUAAACAGAGCCCAGACAGCUGAAAACACCUGGAAAAGAGAUGGCUCCCUCCUGCUUUGCCCAUGCCCUCUGUUGGUGUGGAGGGGUGCAGGGGAGCAGCCGCAGGGACAGUGGCCAUCUGUGCACCAGUUACACCGAGCUAAGUGCACCGUCUGAUAUCGCCCUCAGAUUUCAGCAAUUACUGUGAUUGCUGCUGGGCACUGUAGCCACUCUCAGAAGAGGUGAUUUGUGAGAUGCUGCCGAGUGACAACACAGCUUGACAUGCUGAGGUGGCAACUUUGGAGGACACACCCAAUUGCUCUUAUGCUUGCAGAGAGGUUUUCUUCAACCUUUUCUUAGAAAAGAUAAAGCACAAAACCUGCCCGUGCCCCUUCUGCCUGGCCUGCGAGAGGAAACCUUGUGCUCCCUCCAACAAGCCCUCAGAUGUCGAAGUUGCCACCUUUCAAAGAAAACACAUCAAUGCAUUUCUGUACUGGCUUAUGAGACUGAGGACAGGAGAGGGGAAAACAACAAUUCUGGUAAGUUUCUUGCUCGUCUCUUACUGUUUUCCAGAAGCAUGUGGUUAACCCUGAAUGACUCAUAAACACGAAACAUUCUGGAAAAGUCAUGGAUCUGUGAAUUUCAAGCACCAUGCAAGGUGCUGGCAUGGGGAAUGCCUGCUCUGGCUACAGCCAAUAGGCUUUGCAGGGUGUUUGGUUUUCUCCACUACCUCAAAAUACUUUAAUGCUCCUGUCUCCAACACCCUGGGAAUAGGGCAGAGUUUAGCAGCACUGGCAAAGGGGUUGGUGCCCUACAAGCAGCGCCUGUUUCCAGCACUGCAGCCACAGGCAGAGGCUGUGGGCAGAGGCAGCUUGGAGGCACAGACAGAUGUGGCACAGCUGUGUCUGACAGCCCAGACAGGGCACUGAAGCACACAUCCAUCAAUGAACGGAAAUGCACUAGAACGUGAUCAAAGAGAAACCCAAACCCAUUCAUUUCCAAUUAAAAAGUCAAGUUUGCUCCUGCUUUACUGGACAGUCACAGACAACACACACAUCAGUCUUGUGUCAGUAGUGGAGGUGGACCAUGGCUGCAAGAAUCACACUAAGUACUGAUUUUGUUGUUUGUUAUUCUUAGUUCUUGGUAAUUAGUAAAUCUCUCCGCUUCCAAGAGACUGGGCUGCCCACAGCCUGCCUUCAGCACUACUGGAGCAGCUGUUUCAGAACAAGAAGCCAAAAAAACCCCAACAACCCGCUGGGGAACAGAGGCAAUGCAGAUGGCAAUGCAGUGAUUUCUGUCGCUGCUGUUCUGAAGAAAUGGCAGAGAAUGCCCUGCCUGGGAAACCACUGCCUUGGCACCACCCGUUACCUUGCCGUGGGUACAGGAGGAUGGCAGGGAGGCUGUGCUCAGGUGGGGAAGGGCUCCCAGGGCUCUCUCGGGGUGUUGCAAGGCUGUUCCAACACAUCUGGGAGAGGGAGGGAGGAGCAGGCACCCACGCACGGGCUGGGAGAGCCGCUGCCGGGAUACCCGGGGGAGGGAGCAGAGGCCCGGGGAAAGGCUGUACCACAGCUCGGUGUGCCCCGUGCGGCAAGGCCCUGCACGGGACGGGAGCCAGGAGCUGGGAACUCCCCCUGGCACAGUGAUUGCCACGGAGAGGCAAUUUACAACAGUUCAGAGAGGAGACAAACUUAAUGUUGUUCAAUUACCUGUGAAGCCUCACGCUGGCAGGAAUGAUUUAUGAAUGUUUCAGUAAAAUUCAUUCUGAUACAAACACAGCCAAGGAUAUUUAAGAGCUGGACUCUGCAGCCCAAGGGCUCCAAAACAGCAUUUUUAUUUACCCACAUUGCGAAAAACACAAAAUGCAAAUAGCUUUAGUACUGACUAACCAGAUUUUUUUUUAACCCAAAAUCAAGAUUUUAUGCACCAUCUCAGCUCAGCCUGUCAAACUGAAAUCCAUCAAUUAAAAAUGCAGCUGCUAACCUGGUCAGCAUAACCAACUCUGUACCACACUGUUACCAGCACAAACAGGUGCACAAACAGUUGCUGCUUAGCUGGGAAUGAUUUCUGGGUUAGACUGUUCUGAUCUGCAGAAAUAACAGUGAGACCAAAAAAAAGAGUGAGAAUACAACCAGCAGCCCGACAAAUUUGGGUCACAAAGAGAAUCCUCUAAUCCAGCAGCUCAGCGAGCAGACAGACAAACCCAAACUCCU
Zonotrichia leucophrys gambelii is the source of this 6243-nucleotide long non-coding RNA. RefSeq lists it as uncharacterized. The record is from RefSeq and is a predicted model, not a curated record. Lineage: Eukaryota; Metazoa; Chordata; Aves; Passeriformes; Passerellidae. The transcript is spliced from 3 exons.